GGUCCCGUAGCUCAGCUGGAUAGAGCACAAGUUUCCUAAACUUGGGGUCGCCGGUUCGAUUCCGUCCGGGAUCA
Molecule: transfer RNA, 74 nt
Filed under: Chlorobiota bacterium
Lineage: Bacteria; Pseudomonadati; Chlorobiota
Description: tRNA-Arg
Rfam family: tRNA
About the family: Transfer RNA (tRNA) molecules are approximately 80 nucleotides in length. Their secondary structure includes four short double-helical elements and three loops (D, anti-codon, and T loops). Further hydrogen bonds mediate the characteristic L-shaped molecular structure. tRNAs have two regions of fundamental functional importance: the anti-codon, which is responsible for specific mRNA codon recognition, and the 3' end, to which the tRNAs corresponding amino acid is attached (by aminoacyl-tRNA synthetases). tRNAs cope with the degeneracy of the genetic code in two manners: having more than one tRNA (with a specific anti-codon) for a particular amino acid; and 'wobble' base-pairing, i.e. permitting non-standard base-pairing at the 3rd anti-codon position.
Source: RNAcentral